RNAcentral lists this unclassified non-coding RNA (348 nucleotides) under soil metagenome. Its description in RNAcentral is "partial contains 5.8S ribosomal RNA, internal transcribed spacer 2, and large subunit ribosomal RNA". The stretch from base 1 to 120 matches the Rfam family "5.8S ribosomal RNA", at positions 35 to 154 of the family's 154-position model. The record is from RNAcentral.
GAUGAAGAACGCAGCGAAAUGCGAUAAGUAAUGUGAAUUGCAGAAUUCAGUGAAUCAUCGAAUCUUUGAACGCACAUUGCGCCCGCCAGUAUUCUGGCGGGCAUGCCUGUCUGAGCGUCAGUUCAACCCUCAUGCCCCUAGGGCGUGGUGUUGGGGAUCGGCCAAAGCCCGCGAGGGACGGCCGGCCCCUAAAUCUAGUGGCGGACCCGUCGUGGCCUCCUCUGCGAAGUAGUGAUAUUCCGCAUCGGAGAGCGAUGAGCCCCUGCCGUUAAACCCCCAACUUUCCAAGGUUGACCUCAGAUCAGGUAGGAAUACCCGCUGAACUUAAGCAUAUCAAUAAGCGGAGGA